This 390-nucleotide unclassified non-coding RNA is filed under the name Hevea brasiliensis (rubber tree). The record is from RNAcentral. Lineage: Eukaryota; Viridiplantae; Streptophyta; Magnoliopsida; Malpighiales; Euphorbiaceae.
CAUUUGAAACAAUGGGCACACUAACAUCUAUGGUUUUCAAGUGCACAACAAAGCCUUGAAAGAGCAAUCUAUAACUUUAAAAAUUUUAUCCCAACCUAUUGAUGCCUGGCUACACAAAUCUUAUCAUGGCAAACUUCUUGCUAUUCAAAUGCGUUUAUAUCUUCAUCUAGAUUAUUAAUGCUUCCUGUUAAAUCUUAAUCUCAUAGACAUAGUCCUUCCAUGCACAUUAUCAAAUCUAAAGCUUUAAAUGCCAUAAUACCUGCUAUAUCUCAAUUCUUACCUAUAUUUGGUCAUAAUAUUUUCAAAAUGAAAAGGGAUCUGUUAGGGUUCAACCCUAAUUCAUCCUCUGAAUGCAAGAUUGAAAAUAGAUCAAGAGAAUAGAAGUAGAUG